UACGAAGGGGGCUAGCGUUGCUCGGAAUCACUGGGCGUAAAGCGCACGUAGGCGGAUUGUUAAGUCAGGGGUGAAAUCCCGGAGCUCAACUCCGGAACUGCCUUUGAUACUGGCGAUCUUGAGUCCGGGAGAGGUGAGUGGAACUGCGAGUGUAGAGGUGAAAUUCGUAGAUAUUCGGAAGAACACCAGUGGCGAAGGCGGCUCACUGGACUGGUAUUGACGCUGAGGUGCGAAAGCGUGGGGAGCAAACAGG
Molecule: ribosomal RNA, 253 nt
Filed under: uncultured bacterium
Lineage: Bacteria
Description: partial 16S ribosomal RNA
Rfam family: Bacterial small subunit ribosomal RNA
Source: RNAcentral